AACGAACGCUGGCGGCAUGCCUAACACAUGCGAGUCGAACGAGAUCUUCGGGUCUAGUGGCGCACGGGUGCGUAACGCGUGGGAAUCUGCCCUUUGGUUCGGAAUAACAGUUGGAAACGACUGCUAAUACCGGAUGAUGACGAAAGUCCAAAGAUUUAUCGCCAGAGGAUGAGCCCGCGUAGGAUUAGCUAGUUGGUGUGGUAAAGGCGCACCAAGGCGACGAUCCUUAGCUGGUCUGAGAGGAUGAUCAGCCACACUGGGACUGAGACACGGCCCAGACUCCUACGGGAGGCAGCAGUGGGGAAUAUUGGACAAUGGGCGAAAGCCUGAUCCAGCAAUGCCGCGUGAGUGAUGAAGGCCUUAGGGUUGUAGAGCUCUUUUACCCGGGAUGAUAAUGACAGUACCGGGAGAAUAAGCUCCGGCUAACUCCGUGCCAGCCGCCGCAGUCA
Molecule: ribosomal RNA, 449 nt
Filed under: uncultured bacterium
Lineage: Bacteria
Description: partial 16S ribosomal RNA
Rfam family: Bacterial small subunit ribosomal RNA
Source: RNAcentral